CAGACAUUGGGCAGCAGAUGAAUCUCUGAAUCAGAUUCAGCUGAAUUAAUUCAGGACAGUGAUUCAAAUCACCAAAUCAAAUCACUGUCUUCCGAAUCAGCUGAAUCUGAGUGACUACUAGCCGCUUCGCACAGGCCUAGUUUCCAGGGCUCUACUGCCUUCUCCACACUUCAGAUGCCAAAGGUGCAGAUUGCCUUGUGCUUGAGUCCUGUGCCAUGAAACAGUCACACAGCUGGCCCUACUUUCUCUCUGUUGUUCUCUCCAUCAAGACUCUACAUUGUAAGGAGGACCUUUCCUGAGAACUGUGUUGUUGCAUCAUGGUACAUUCCUGCUGACGGCACACUCUGGAAGCUGGGGAGCUUCACCCACAGAAAAGAAAGGGAGUAGAAGGCAACACAGCAGCACUUAGGAGUCAAAAUAACAACAUUUUGAGGUGCUGCUGCUGAAUCAUCUCUGUCUGGUUGGCUAUUUUCAGAGGCCAGUAACUUGCAGCCCA
This is a long non-coding RNA of Alligator mississippiensis (American alligator), 496 nucleotides long. RefSeq lists it as uncharacterized. The transcript is spliced from 4 exons. Lineage: Eukaryota; Metazoa; Chordata; Crocodylia; Alligatoridae. The record is from RefSeq and is a predicted model, not a curated record.